AAAUCUUGACAUCCUCUGACCCCUCUAGAGAUAGAGUUUUCCCCUUCGGGGGACAGAGUGACAGGUGGUGGCAUGGUUGUCGUCAGCUCGUGUCGUGAGAUGUUGGGUUAAGUCCCGCAACGAGCGCAACCCUUAAGCUUAGUUGCCAUCAUUAAGUUGGGCACUCUAAGUUGACUGCCGGUGACAAACCGGAGGAAGGUGGGGAUGACGUCAAAUCAUCAUGCCCCUUAUGAUUUGGGCUACA
This 244-nucleotide ribosomal RNA is filed under the name uncultured bacterium. RNAcentral describes it as "partial 16S ribosomal RNA". It matches the Rfam family "Bacterial small subunit ribosomal RNA", at positions 976 to 1218 of the family's 1533-position model. The record is from RNAcentral.